CAUAACCUUUAGCCAACCAAGUAUUAAAGGCGACGCCUGCCCAGUGAAAAUUAAACGGCCGCGGUAUCCUAACCGUGCAAAGGUAGCAUAAUCAUUUGUCUAUUAAUUGUAGACCUGUAUGAAAGGCAAAAUGAGAGCCCAACUGUCUCUUAUAACGAAUCAAUUAAACUGAUCUUCUAGUACAAAAGCUAGAAUACUAACAUAAGACCAGAAGACCCUGUGAAGCUUUAACUAACCUAUUAAGCCCAAUAAUAACUACUUUAGGUUGGGGCGACCUUGGAAUAAAAAAGAACUUCCAAUCUAUGACUCCCUCAUAAGCUAAGGCAAACAAGCCAACACGACCCAGUAUAGCUGACAAUUGAAACAAGUUACUCCAGGGAUAACAGCGCCAUCUUCUUUAAGAGCCCAUAUCAAAAAGAAGGUUUACGACCUCGAUGUUGGAUCAGGACACCCCAGCAAUGCAACCGUUACUAAAGGUUCGUUUGUUCAACGAUUAAUAGUCCUACGUGAUCUGAG
Molecule: ribosomal RNA, 516 nt
Filed under: Bothrops neuwiedi (Jararaca pintada)
Lineage: Eukaryota; Metazoa; Chordata; Lepidosauria; Squamata; Viperidae
Description: partial large subunit ribosomal RNA
Rfam family: Bacterial large subunit ribosomal RNA
Source: RNAcentral